GGGAAACGCUUGUUGCCGGCCUGCCAGCCAAACGAUUGCGUCGGUCUCAUGCCAAUCAAUUGAUCGUGAUUUGAUCUCAGGCCCACACGUCACUAUGCACACACGUUUUUCUAGUCCACCCACUACUCCAGCCCGUCAAACAUAAUCCUGUUCUCCACAUUGUCUUCUCCAUCAUGUCGAGGGUGUUCUCUCCCUCGUCUUCUCCAUGGUUGCGCUCCCCCCACCCUCCUCCUCGUCAUGGCCAGCGAGCCUCCUCCCCAUCUCCCCUUCCCACUUCAGCCACAGCGGCACACACGAACUCCCCUAGAGACACCGUGAGUUUGUCUUGA
This 329-nucleotide long non-coding RNA is filed under the name Hordeum vulgare. RNAcentral's name for it is "long non-coding RNA (HVUL_LNC009703)". The record is from RNAcentral. Lineage: Eukaryota; Viridiplantae; Streptophyta; Magnoliopsida; Poales; Poaceae.